GAGAGGCAUAACUCGUAACAGCCACUGGUGGCGCUACGAUUGAGCGCAGGAAUUCCAGCCUAGUUCGGCAAGGGUGGAAACAGGACUUUUUAAGUCAGUUAACUCACUUGCCUCGGGAAGAUGCUUAUUACCCUGCUGUGGUAUUGCGCACCAUAUUGCCAAGCUGUUGUAUAUAUGCACGUAUUCCCCAGUGUCUGCACCAAGCUCCGUGUCGUCCCCUGCAGCACUUGUGGAACGGAUGCCACAGAGAAACAAGACCAAUUCUAUUUGAGAAUGAAAGGUUUAUAUUAGGUUGUGUAGAUUGUGUUACGGAGAUUUCUAGGAAAUAAGCAUAUCAUUGUAGUACAUAACAGCCCAAAGUUGCCCCUGGCUGUUUUUUCUGUUAGAGUUUUUCCUGACAGGACUAGGUUGGGGUGACCUAACAUGACUGGGUCAUGGUGACCUGACAGGACUAGGUUGGGGUGACCUAACACGACUGGGUCAUGGUGACCUGACAGGACUAGAUUGGGGUGACCUAACACGACUGGGUCAUGGUGACCUGACAGGACUAGAUUGGGGUGACCUAACAUGACUGGGUCAUGGCGAUCUGACAGGACUAGGUUGGGGUGACCUAACACGACUUGGUCAUGGUGACCUGACAGGACUAGGUAGGGGUGACCUAACACGACUGGGUCAUGGUGACCUGACAGGACUAGGUUGGGGUGACCUAACAAACUGGGGCAUGGUGACCUGACAGGACUAAGUCACAGUUACCUAAUAUUACUGGGUCAUGGUGACCUGACAGGACUAGGUUGGGGUGACCUAGUAUGACUGGGCCAUGGUGACCUUUCAGGACUAGGUCACAGUAACCUAACAUGACUGGGUCAUGGUGACCUUUCAGGACUAGGUCACAGUUACUUAACACGACUGGGUCAUGGUGACCUGACAGGACAUGUUUUCUGAUAUACUUGAGAACUCUUUGUUUGAGGAACCUUGAAAGUGUGUCAGUGUUGUCAUUGAUCCAUUCCACGGUGUAGGUGAGCUGGUAGGACAGUAGCUGUAACAAUGUAAGUUGCACCUGUCAUUGUAGCAGUACAUGAUGUUGUAGCUGAUGCAGGUGGCGAGGUCACUGUGCCUUCUCUGUCUGGCCUUACUGUCGUGUGAUCUGUGAUCUGUGAUCUGUGAUCUGUGUAACCUCCACUCAUGCUUCCUGUGUUAUUUGGUGCUGCAUCAAAAUUCAGCCAAUCAGAAGCCUCAAUUUCUACACCAGCCAAUCAAAUAUCAACGGCAACUAAUGAUCAUUUACGUUCCAGUUUGAUAAAUACAAAAACUUUCACAUCAGCACUGUUUGAUGCAUCAUAAUUGAAUACAAAAUGUCAAACAUUGAAUCAUGGAAACGUUUUUGGCACUAGCGUCUGGAAUAUUUUGGGUCACAGUGACCUAAUACAACUGGGUCAUGAAAGAACUCGUCAGGGUGACCCAACAGGACUGGGUCAGUGUGACCUACCAUUACUGGGUCGGCAUGACCCAACAUGACUGGGUCGGUGUGACCUACCAUUACUGGGUCGGCAUGACCCAACACAGCUGUGUCAGUGUGACCUAACAUUACUGGGUCGGCUUGACCCAACACAACUGGGUCGGCGUGACUGUACACUACUGGACCAGGGUGACCUAACAUUACUGGGUCGGCGUGACCCAACACGACUGGGUCGGCGUUACCCAACACGACUGGGUCGGCAUGAUCCAACACGACUGGGUCAGGGUGACCUAACAUGUUCUACUGAAUCCAGGAAACUUGUGGGUUGCUGUGAAACUUGGCAGGUCAGAUAUUGUGUGUGACAACCAUGUGUGUUUAUGUAUGCAGUGUAUUGAUAGAUAUUCACUUGACAGUGGAUCCCAUGUUGUGACACUGGCCGUGUCAUCUGUACCAUAUAGAGUAGAAAAUAUCAGUGUGAUCAGUUUACAAUAUCAUGUUGAUUGGUCAGUAGACAAAGUAGGUUUUUUAAAUGUAUAAACUACUACAACAUUGAUUUUAAUACACUGUUUUCAUUGUAGGACUUUUAUAGUAUAAACUGCUACAACACUGACUUAAAUACACUGUUUUCAUUGUAGGACUUUUAUAGUAUAAACUGCUACAACACUGACUUAAGUACGCUGUUUUCAUUGUAGGACUUCUAUAGUAUUAACUGCUACAACACUGACUUAAAUACACUGUUUUCAUUGUAGGACUUUUAUAGUAUAAACUGCUACAACACAGACUUAAAUACACUGUUUUCAUUGUAGGACUUUUAUAGUAUAAACUGCUACAACACUGACUUAAAUACACUGUUUUCAUUGUAGGACUUUUAUAGUAUAAACUGCUACAAUAUUGACUGAAUGUACUGUUUUCAUAAUUCUUUUACGUUUGCUACACUUUCCUGUAAUGAAUGUCAAAUGACUAAUUUAAUUUUUUUUAUGAUUUUGCUUCAAUACUGAAGACUAUGAUUGUUGCCAUGGAUACCUUAAUUGUGCUUUCUUCUAGCAGCUAUUACAUGUUGAUGUUGUGGUAGCUUGUCUGUCCUGUUGUCACCUAUCACAGUGUUAUCUUUAAAGUUUUCCAAUUGUUGAUACAUUUUCAAAUUUUAUGACUGUGCAGGUGUUGAGGUCAUGGCCUCUGGUAUUGUUCCUGAUCUCUUGCUGUGGAUACAGAACGCAGCCUGUUAGGUUCUGGAUGUUCUCAGCCUCAAGGAGAGCACCAGUAGUCUGUUCAUCAUAGCCCAGCUUCUAGUUUUCAUGUUUUGUUGAUAUUUUUUUUAAAUUUUAUUUUAUUAAUAAAAAUUAGAGAGGGGGUGUAUUCAGUGUCAAAAUAGUUUGUGUUGAUAUGUGGUGAAUUCCUGAAAAAAACGCAAAGAAAAAACAGCAUUUAUGACUUAUUUUUGUUAAAUUUUGAAAACAAUUUUGUCAAUUAUGUUCAUAAAAUAGAAAGGGAUAUUGCCUGGAUCAUUUAAGAUGUAAAAUUUACAAAAAAUUGUGAUGAUAUGAGAUGAUGCCCUAAAACCUACAAAUUUUAUGGUACAAAAAAUGUUUUCACAGCAUUUCUGAAUAUUUUUGUCAACUUUUGCUAAAAUGUUGAAAAAAGGAAUAAUGUUGUUUGUUUUGAAUCGACCUCCUGAUGUGUGAUGUGAUGGAUCUGUUUGUAUGACCUGCUGUAAUCUCCGCAGUGUUACAGAGUAACCUGUCUUAGAUGCCUAGAAGUCACUGAUGUGAUGGUAACGAGUCUUUAGGACUUUAAAGUUUUGUAGUUCUCACAGAACGCUUCACUUGUCAUCCCUAGCUUUUCCUCCUCAGGAGAUAUCGCUACAAGGGAAUUGCCGACUAGUGGGACAGCAUCAAAUUACUUCUCUAAUCUCUCUGUCACUGAAGCUGGUCAGCUGUAAUGUUCACACUCUAGAGCCUUGUUAAAAACUUAAAAAGUUGGAAGAAUGAUUUUGGAUGAUAAAUAGAAUCUCAUCCUUGUGUUAUGAUGCCAAAUAUGUGAACACUCAUCCAUGAAAGUUGAAACUCCUUGGAAAGCCCUUGGAUGUUCAGCUUUUGUCUACUAGGGCUGGGACGGGUAACUCGGGUACCGGGGUAGUAAAUUCGGACUCGUCCCAGCCCUAGUCUACUCGUGUUGAUAUAUUUCUACCAUGACGCUCGGGGAGAUUCUGUAUUUCCUCUUUUCCCCCAUACAUCACACCAAGACCUGGGUCUGAUCCCCACAAGGUACAAUGUGGGAAGCCCUACCGCCAUAGCUGGAGUGUCAGCAUUUGCAGAAAUUGUGUAAAACUCGACUCCCACAUUCUUGAGCUGUAUUUCUUUACAAGGACUGUCAGUACCAUUGUUGGCAAAUUGCAAACUAUUUUAAUUCGGUUUGCCUGAGUUUAGCAUGUAUUUUCAAGGUGUAAUGAUCAUACUGUGGCUGAUCUACCGAUUUGACCCGGUGGUGACCCCUGCACCUACCAACCACAGCCUGACAGUGUCUGCAGCAUCUGCAGCAUCUGCCCAGGAGCAAGUCUAGCAACAUCUUCAACGCAGCGUGACUUGUAGCUUUAAUCAAUAUCACCAUACUGUUGUUACUUCUUCACCUAACGUUUAACCACGUCGGAUAACAUCCUUGUUUCAUGUGUCGUUUGAUUUGUCUGAUUUAGUAAUUUACGGCUUUUAGCUAGGUGGGUUUAACCCCUGCGGCCUGUGUGUGGUUCAGUGAUGUAGAUGUGGUAGAUUCUACACCAGCUGUGUGCUGCAUAUGUACCAUGUGAUACGCACGUCUUGCUGUUACCUGUUGUAUGUGUGUCACACUCAACCUAGACCUGGGUCACAGUGACCUGACAGGACUGUGUCAGGGUGACCUAACAGCUGGGUCAUGGUGACAUAACAAUAAAUGGCCAUGGUGACUUAACAAGACUGGGUUAUGAUGACCUGACAGGUUUGUGUCAAAAUGACCUUGACCACUCGGUGACCUAACAGGACGUUGUUUUGGGUAAAUGAAUAGGACUAUUUGUGAGGGUAACUUUAACACAACUUGGUCACGGUGAUCUCCUCCAGUGUCAGGUGACCUUGACCUAACACGACUGGGUCCUGUUAGAUGCCCUGCAAGUCAGAGUUCUGAUAUUGAGGAAUAUGGUCUAGAUUGAGUGAGACUACCUAUUUUAUCUGUUAUUGGCUUGCAGAGUUUUAUCCUAUACAUACAUAUAUAUAUAUGAUACAGUGUUUAUCCAUCUACUUGUACAGCUUAGUAUUGUGACUAUAUGUUUAUAUUCACUUGUAUCAUCCCUGUGUAUGUGAUACAGUGUUUAUACAUCUACUUGUACAGCUUAGCUCAGUGACUGUACUUCUAUAUUUGCUUGUAUCAUCCCUGUGUAUAUUCCCAGCUAUUUUUCUACUCACUGUAAAUACCCCACUAUGUAAUCUACAUGAGAAAAUCUACUGCAAUAAAUGCUUAUAAUAGA
RNAcentral lists this long non-coding RNA (4946 nucleotides) under Haliotis rufescens (red abalone). RNAcentral describes it as "uncharacterized LOC125379328". The record is from RNAcentral. Lineage: Eukaryota; Metazoa; Mollusca; Gastropoda; Lepetellida; Haliotidae.